This 621-nucleotide unclassified non-coding RNA is filed under the name Hevea brasiliensis (rubber tree). The record is from RNAcentral. Lineage: Eukaryota; Viridiplantae; Streptophyta; Magnoliopsida; Malpighiales; Euphorbiaceae.
GGGAAAGCGGCUUUUAGCUCAUUCCCUUUGAAUAAGCUAAUAACAGAAUUUCAUAGAUAACGGAGACUCUUUCUUUUCUGAGGAACGAAUCUCCGUAGCUCAAUAGCAAGCAAGCUCUCGGCACUUACUUACUUAUGAGGAAAAGGAUGGAGACCGCCCUUCUUUCUUCACUAUCUGGCUAUCGAGAAGAUAAAAUUGAAAUGCAGGGGAGUCAGUCAAUAGGCAGAAAAGUAACCCAAGGGAAGAUCAUGUCACUGAAGACCAAGCCACGAGCUAGCUCAGUUAGAACGAAAUUAGGACUACUCUCACGACUAUGGACAGUUCUCCUUCCCCCCCACCACCUACCUUCCCUGAACGAGCUCUUUCUAUCCGUUCCUUUCCCUUACUUCCCUAAAAGCUGGAUCUAUCUCUUCCUCCGAGUCGUGCCUCACCAAAACUAGAGAUUUUCUUACAGUCGUGACAUCGCUCCGCCAGACCCAGUUUGGACCAGGGGGGGUAGUGACACUUGUCGUUCAAGAUAAAGGGGAACGAUCCGCUUUCCGAACCACCACCGUUGACAAGUCUCCUUAACGAAACAGAAAAGGUCACCAAGGGGCCUUCGCUCGAGGUCUGGAACGGAGG